UACGUAGGGUGCGAGCGUUAAUCGGAAUUACUGGGCGUAAAGCGUGCGCAGGCGGUCCGUUGUGUCGGCGGUGAAAGCCCCGGGCUUAACCUGGGAAUGGCCGGUGAAACUGGCGAACUGGAGUGUGGCAGAGGGGGGUGGAAUUCCGCGUGUAGCAGUGAAAUGCGUAGAGAUGCGGAGGAACACCGAUGGCGAAGGCAGCCCCCUGGGCUAACACUGACGCUCAGGCACGAAAGCGUGGGGAGCAAACAGG
Molecule: ribosomal RNA, 253 nt
Filed under: uncultured bacterium
Lineage: Bacteria
Description: partial 16S ribosomal RNA
Rfam family: Bacterial small subunit ribosomal RNA
Source: RNAcentral